Molecule: long non-coding RNA, 314 nt
Filed under: Citrus sinensis (sweet orange)
Lineage: Eukaryota; Viridiplantae; Streptophyta; Magnoliopsida; Sapindales; Rutaceae
Description: long non-coding RNA (CSIN_LNC004127)
Source: RNAcentral
CGGUCUCCAUGGAAAUCGUGUCAAAAGUGGAGGGAUGCGUGAAUGGAACAGAUCUCCACCGCCCGCAGCAGCCAUCACGAUCGUUUCUGAGAUUGACGAAGAGCCUCAAAUCUCUCUUUUUCUUCUGCUCGAGCUCGUCGGAAACCGCGUGUAUGUGUUGGAGAUAAGGGCGGAGGAUUCUUCGUCUGUCGGCUUUCCUGAGCUUCAAAACGAGGGUUCUGGCGGUGGCGGAGUCGUCCUGGUUGGCCCAAGAAAGUGGAGCUCCGAGGAAAUUGUCUUGGAUGAGCUGGUUUGGAUCGAGGCCGAGGACGAUG